Molecule: ribosomal RNA, 468 nt
Filed under: uncultured bacterium
Lineage: Bacteria
Description: partial 16S ribosomal RNA
Rfam family: Bacterial small subunit ribosomal RNA
Source: RNAcentral
GACGAACGCUGGCGGCGUGCUUAACACAUGCAAGUCGAACGGAAAGGCCCUGCUUUUGUGGGGUGCUCGAGUGGCGAACGGGUGAGUAACACGUGAGUAACCUGCCCUUGACUUUGGGAUAACUUCAGGAAACUGGGGCUAAUACCGGAUAGGAGCUCCUGCUGCAUGGUGGGGGAUGGAAAGUUUCGGCGGUUGGGGAUGGACUCGCGGCUUAUCAGCUUGUUGGUGGGGUAGUGGCUUACCAAGGCUUUGACGGGUAGCCGGCCUGAGAGGGUGAACGGCCACAAUGGGACUGAGAUACGGCCCAGACUCCUACGGGAGGCAGCAGUGGGGAAUAUUGCACAAUGGGCGGAAGCCUGAUGCAGAAACGCCGCGUGCGGGAUGACGGCCUUCGGGUUGUAAACCGCUUUCGCCUGUGACGAAGCGUGAGUGACGGUAAUGGGUAAAGAAGCACCGGCUAACUACGUG